Molecule: ribosomal RNA, 495 nt
Filed under: uncultured bacterium
Lineage: Bacteria
Description: partial 16S ribosomal RNA
Rfam family: Bacterial small subunit ribosomal RNA
Source: RNAcentral
GAUGAACGCUAGCGGGAGGCCUAACACAUGCAAGCCGAGCGGUAUUGUUUCUUCGGAAAUGAGAGAGCGGCGUACGGGUGCGUAACACGUGUGCAACCUGCCUUUAUCUGGGGGAUAGCCUUUCGAAAGGAAGAUUAAUACUCCAUAAUAUAUUGAACGGAAUCGUUUAAUAUUGAAAGCUCCGGCGGAAAGAGAUGGGCACGCGUAAGAUUAGCUAGUUGGUGAGGUAACGGCUCACCAAGGCGAUGAUCUUUAGGGGGCCUGAGAGGGUGAGCCCCCACACUGGUACUGAGACACGGACCAGACUCCUACGGGAGGCAGCAGUGAGGAAUAUUGGUCAAUGGGUGCAAGCCUGAACCAGCCAUCCCGCGUGAAGGACGACUGCCCUAUGGGUUGUAAACUUCUUUUGUAUAGGGAUAAACCUACCCUCGUGAGGGUAGCUGAAGGUACUAUACGAAUAAGCACCGGCUAACUCCGUGCCAGCCGCCGCGGUAA